Long non-coding RNA from Gorilla gorilla gorilla (western lowland gorilla), 746 nucleotides. RefSeq lists it as uncharacterized. Lineage: Eukaryota; Metazoa; Chordata; Mammalia; Primates; Hominidae. The record is from RefSeq and is a predicted model, not a curated record. The transcript has 3 exons.
UUACCCUAAUUCCCUCAUUCUCCUGCCUCUUCUGGGAAAGGGAGUGAUGGGAGCAGGCUGGGUGAGGUGAGGGAGAGGCAGGCCUACGGUGGCCAGAAAUGGCUCCCUGCAGAGGCUGCAAGGCUGGCCCAAGCACCAGGUCAAGAAUGCCAAAUGAUUCCACCAGGGCUGGAAGGGGGCCAGAGACUACAGAGCCGCAUGGCUGGAGGGCAGAUGCAGCUGUUCUUUCUGGGAUUUGGAGAUCCCGUUCUCCCACCCACACUGCUCCUGGGCUGCCCAUUUGCCAAAGCCCCACCACCUCCCAAGUCUCCACCUCAACCUUUAGGCUUCAGCCACACCCAUCUUCCUCCUGCUCAGCUGGAUUCGGAAGGGCAGGCCCGGAGCCCUGAAGACUGGAGACUGGAGUGAGGCCUCCCAAUGCCGGGCCCAGAAACCUCCCAACCACCCUGCAGGGCACUGAGGCCCGUGGAAUGGUAUAAAAACCACAGUGUUCAUGUCACAGUUUAAAGACCCAGCACGUUCCAUCUGUAGCUGUGCACCAUGAUGGCUUGCUAUCAGGCUCUAGGGCCCAAGUCUAGUAAAAUUCUGGUGCUUCUGUGGCUUUGGGAUUGGAUAAUGAUAGAAACCUUGGCAGAGGAAGGAAAAAUGGAAAGACAAUCAGCGCACCAGGAACCCAGUGCAGCCCGCACAGCCACAGCGCAGGUCUGCUCCGGGUCUUUUGUCCUGACAGGAAGGGGAUGCGUCCG